Molecule: ribosomal RNA, 253 nt
Filed under: uncultured bacterium
Lineage: Bacteria
Description: partial 16S ribosomal RNA
Rfam family: Bacterial small subunit ribosomal RNA
Source: RNAcentral
UACGGAGGGGGCGAGCGUUGUUAGGAAUUACUGGGCGUAAAGCGCACGUAGGCGGACUGGAAAGUCAGGGGUGAAAUCCCGGGGCUCAACCCCGGAACUGCCUUUGAAACUCCCGGUCUUGAGGUCGAGAGAGGUGAGUGGAAUUCCGAGUGUAGAGGUGAAAUUCGUAGAUAUUCGGAGGAACACCAGUGGCGAAGGCGGCUGACUGGCUCGAUACUGACGCUGAGGUGCGAAAGCGUGGGGAGCAAACAGG